Oncorhynchus kisutch (coho salmon) is the source of this 1688-nucleotide long non-coding RNA. RefSeq lists it as uncharacterized. Lineage: Eukaryota; Metazoa; Chordata; Actinopteri; Salmoniformes; Salmonidae. The transcript has 2 exons. The record is from RefSeq and is a predicted model, not a curated record.
GCCAAUUUAUUAUUAACCGUCCAUGAGACUAGUUCUUACUUCUCUCUUGUGAAUGUUGAGUAAAAAACAUAGAACUUAUCAUGUCUGGGGAGUGCAUUCAAACGAUGCUUAACGUUGUUAUUUUUUUGUGUAAAUUGGAUUUAGACGCAUGUAUUUGAAAGUUUACAGUCUUGUCAAAUUCAGUGUUUCUUUGACAAUGGACCACCCUGACCAAAAUGGCUGCCACUGUGAACCUGUAGUCCAUGGGCCCUGGAUCUCUUUUCCAUGGAUUCUGGGGAUACAUUUGAACUACACUUUGGUUACUGUUGCUAACUGACAAGCUUUGCCUUUUAUUUUCCUGUGAAAAUGGAGAAGUGCAUAGUAAUAACGCUAAGGGAACUCCCCAAUGAGGUACUAAGUUACUUUUGGAGACAACCAUCACUUAUAUCAGAUUGGAGCAAACUAAAGGAUCUUCAGUAUGCCUUUUGAAGGCUGUAUUCACAAAAAAAUUAUGCAGGAGCUAAACACAGCAAGCAGGAGGAAUAGGAUAGAGGCAAAGUCUACAGGACCCAGUGUAAGAGGGAGAAACACCACUAGCUGACCAUUGAGGCAGAGGCAGAUGACAAAGGAGCACCAUUGUUCCUAAACUGCAGGGUAGGUCUCACAAUCAUUUAAAAACCAAACUCAUACAAUAUCAGCUUCAGCUAGCUGUUUUGCUAACGUAAACAACCAACGCCCUGCCCUCGCUUCAACAAAUAUAGUGUUCUAUGCUAGCUCCACAGGUUACUGCUCGCAUGUUGUUGGGCUGAUCCACACCUUGGCCCUCUGGAGAGCCCCAGAUGAAAUGUCCACUACAAGCUUGCCACAACAGUUGCAUAAGUCAAGAGGAAAGAAGAUUGAUUCCUAUUGAAGCCUAUUACAGCGGUCAGGGUGGCAAAGGCAAAAGUGAGUCGGAAAAGAAGACCAGUCUACUGCAGUUACAACUGAUAGCUCCCACUAUUGGAGAACAGCACCACCACCAUCCUCCUCCAACCCUACGGAUGAGUUCCCAACAUUUCCUCAGCCGCCAACAACCAAGAUGUUUCUCUACAGUUCUGAAUGAAAAUAAGAUAUUACAACAGUGAUAUAAUGAUCUCCCAGUCUGAAGCAGAGGCACUGGAAAAAGAGACAAGAUGGCAGAGCAACAACACCCGCCAUGGUGUCUGCUCCCAGCCACUUACUUAAUCUUUUUAAGAGGUUGUGCUCCAAGGUAGCAGACUGACAGACUUGCCACCAGCAUGCAGAGGAAGAAGACCGUGCAGACCAAGGCGAUGACGAUAGACCUGGAGCUUGAGCUGCUUACAGCAGCACCGUAUACUGAAGUCACUGGGCACAAAGUGUUCCCAUGUGGCUUUGUUGUCAACCACCACUCCCUCCAUUUAGGCAUCUCGUGACAGGAAAGUCUAGAGUAAUGAGAACCCAAGCAACAGCUUCUGGAAAUAAAAUGCCCAAACAAAGUCAACUUUACUGGUAGUAAAUCUCUCUGUCAAAGAGCUGAUGGUACCUAUGCUUACAAACCUAAUCAUGAGUUCCUCUACCAUAGUAUGGGACAAAUGGGAAUCACAGGGAUGCCGUGGGGUGAUUUUAUUUGUCAUGUGUAAAAAUGACUUUCACCUGGAGUGUGUCCACUUUAAUGCAGAAAAGUGGGAUAGCAUGAAAAGCCAGCUGGA